RNAcentral lists this ribosomal RNA (253 nucleotides) under uncultured bacterium. RNAcentral's name for it is "partial 16S ribosomal RNA". It matches the Rfam family "Bacterial small subunit ribosomal RNA", at positions 524 to 776 of the family's 1533-position model. The record is from RNAcentral.
UACGUAGGGGGCAAGCGUUGCCCGGAAUCAUUGGGCGUAAAGCGCGUGUAGGCGGCCCGGUAAGUCCGCUGUGAAAGUCGAGGGCUCAACCCUCGAAUGCCGGUGGAUACUGUCGGGCUAGAGUGCGGGAGAGGCGAGUGGAAUUCCUGGUGUAGCGGUGAAAUGCGCGGAUAUCAGGAGGAACACCAAUUGCGAAGGCAGCUCGCUGGAACGUAACUGACGCUGAGACGCGAAAGCGUGGGUAGCAAACAGG